Molecule: non-coding RNA, 225 nt
Organism: Caenorhabditis elegans
Lineage: Eukaryota; Metazoa; Nematoda; Chromadorea; Rhabditida; Rhabditidae
Source: Ensembl
UCUCGAUCUUCGUGCUUCACUUCUCGAUAUUCACUGCUGUUUCAAAUCUUGAUAACUGGCGCUGAUGGUUUUACUAUUGAAGAAAUAAAGAUACGACAAGAUUUGUAACACAAACAUUAGCACUGACAAUGAAGAGUGGCACUGAAGACUAACACUAACACAAUCAUUCUCCCCUUCGCCGCGCCAGUUUAUAGCUUUGCGAUUGACAAUUGAUUAUUGAGAGUU